This 414-nucleotide ribosomal RNA is filed under the name Theileria lestoquardi. Its description in RNAcentral is "SSU rRNA". It matches the Rfam family "Eukaryotic small subunit ribosomal RNA", at positions 469 to 923 of the family's 1831-position model. Lineage: Eukaryota; Apicomplexa; Aconoidasida; Piroplasmida; Theileriidae. The record is from RNAcentral.
GACAAGAAAUAACAAUACGGGGCUUAAAGUCUUGUAAUUGGAAUGAUGGGAAUUUAAACCUCUUCCAGAGUAUCAAUUGGAGGGCAAGUCUGGUGCCAGCAGCCGCGGUAAUUCCAGCUCCAAUAGCGUAUAUUAAAAUUGUUGCAGUUAAAAAGCUCGUAGUUGAAUUUCUGCUGCAUUGCUUGUGUCCCUCUGGGGUCUGUGCAUGCGGCUUUUUUCGGACGGAGUUUCUUUGUCUGAAUGUUUACUUUGAGAAAAUUAGAGUGCUCAAAGCAGGCUUUUGCCUUGAAUAGUUUAGCAUGGAAUAAUAGAGUAGGACUUUGGUUCUAUUUUGUUGGUUUUAGGUACCAAAGUAAUGGUUAAUAGGAACAGUUGGGGGCAUUCGUAUUUAACUGUCAGAGGUGAAAUUCUUAG